GAGAGUUAGAGUAGCACCCAUUGUGGAAAAGAUGGUAGAAUCGCGUCUUAAGUGGUUUGGACAUGUGAGAAGAAGACUGACAAAGCACUCAGUCAGGAGGGUGGAUGAGAUGGACGAUGGACAAGGGGUGAAAGGUAGAGGAAGUCCUAAGAAGAUUAUUCAUGAGGUGGUCAAACGAGAUCUACAUGUAAACGGUCUCUCUGUAGACAUGAUACAUGAUAGAGCUCAAUAGCGUCGUUUGAUUCAUGUAGUCGACCUCACCUAGUGGGACAAAGCUUUGUUGUUGUUGUUGUAUAUGAUGGAUGACAAUGGAUAUGGAUGACAUGAACAUGGAUGAUGAAUAUUGUAUAUUUACAUAGACUCUGUUAUGAUCGCUACUUGCUAUUUAUUAUCUCAAACUUUUACAUUUAUACUGUUGUAGCAGCACAGUCAUCAUUUGCAUAUGCAUCAUUUUAUCGUGAUCUACAUGUGGAUGUUAGAUUAAAUUUGUAUGCUUAGGUAUACCAUGACAUAUGUGUGCCUUAUGGUUCACUUUUCCGUACCAACGUCUCGUGUAUUAAAAUAAAAGAGGACCUAACUUCGAAAAAGACUGCUACAAUUAUAGGUUGACUAUUAGAGAUCGAGUCUAGGAGAGUUAAGUCUUGAGUCAAUGUGAUAGCCUAAUUUGUGUGGAGUUAAGACCAUGGCUUAAGCCCACAUUAAAAAAGGUGCUACAUUGUGUUUGGAUUUUGUCUCUGCGACAGAAAUAUAGAGAUGGAUGUUUUUACCCCUGCCAUCAGAAAGUACAAAAAAUACAAAACAAAGAAGUUGGGACCAUGUGUUUCCUUGCAACCCGUAAUGGGCACUUCCACUUUAGCUGGUCUCUAUCACAUUUAUUUGAAACCAGUCAGUGAAAAAGAGAGGAGAACAGAGACAUAGAGAAAGAC
Non-coding RNA from Arachis ipaensis, 926 nucleotides. The record is from RefSeq and is a predicted model, not a curated record. Lineage: Eukaryota; Viridiplantae; Streptophyta; Magnoliopsida; Fabales; Fabaceae.